GAUGAACGCUGGCGGCGUGCUUAAUACAUGCAAGUCGAGCGAACAGACGAGGAGCUUGCUCCUCUGAAGUUAGCGGCGGACGGGUGAGUAACACGUGGAUAACCUACCUAUAAGACUGGGAUAACUUCGGGAAUCCGGAGCUAAUACCGGAUAAUAUAUUGAACCGUAUGGUUCAAUAGUGAAAGACGGCUUUGCUGUCACUUACAGAUGGAUCCGCGCCGCAUUAGCUAGUGGGUAAGGUAACGGCUUACCAAGGCAACGCUGCGUAGCCGACCUCAGAGGUUGAUCGGCCACACUGGAACUGAGACACGGUCCAGGCUCCUACGGGAGGCAGCAGUAGGGAAUCUUCCGCAAUGGGCGAAAGCUUGGCGGAGCAGCGCCGCGUGAGUGAUGAAGGUCUUCGGAUCGUAAAGCUCUGUUAUUAGGGAAGAACAAAUGUGUAAGUAACUGUGCACGUCUUGACGGUACCUAAUCAGAAAGCCACGGCUAACUACGUG
RNAcentral lists this ribosomal RNA (497 nucleotides) under uncultured bacterium. RNAcentral's name for it is "partial 16S ribosomal RNA". It matches the Rfam family "Bacterial small subunit ribosomal RNA", at positions 28 to 507 of the family's 1533-position model. The record is from RNAcentral.